RNAcentral lists this ribosomal RNA (696 nucleotides) under Salmonella enterica. RNAcentral's name for it is "partial 23S ribosomal RNA". It matches the Rfam family "Bacterial large subunit ribosomal RNA", at positions 2107 to 2802 of the family's 2925-position model. Lineage: Bacteria; Pseudomonadati; Pseudomonadota; Gammaproteobacteria; Enterobacterales; Enterobacteriaceae. The record is from RNAcentral. RNAcentral also lists the same sequence under 1 other name.
UAGCUUGACACUGAACAUUGAGCCUUGAUGUGUAGGAUAGGUGGGAGGCUUUGAAGCGUGGACGCCAGUCUGCGUGGAGCCGACCUUGAAAUACCACCCUUUAAUGUUUGAUGUUCUAACGUGGACCCGUAAUCCGGGUUGCGGACAGUGUCUGGUGGGUAGUUUGACUGGGGCGGUCUCCUCCUAAAGAGUAACGGAGGAGCACGAAGGUUGGCUAAUCCUGGUCGGACAUCAGGAGGUUAGUGCAAUGGCAUAAGCCAGCUUGACUGCGAGCGUGACGGCGCGAGCAGGUGCGAAAGCAGGUCAUAGUGAUCCGGUGGUUCUGAAUGGAAGGGCCAUCGCUCAACGGAUAAAAGGUACUCCGGGGAUAACAGGCUGAUACCGCCCAAGAGUUCAUAUCGACGGCGGUGUUUGGCACCUCGAUGUCGGCUCAUCACAUCCUGGGGCUGAAGUAGGUCCCAAGGGUAUGGCUGUUCGCCAUUUAAAGUGGUACGCGAGCUGGGUUUAGAACGUCGUGAGACAGUUCGGUCCCUAUCUGCCGUGGGCGCUGGAGAACUGAGGGGGGCUGCUCCUAGUACGAGAGGACCGGAGUGGACGCAUCACUGGUGUUCGGGUUGUCAUGCCAAUGGCACUGCCCGGUAGCUAAAUGCGGAAGAGAUAAGUGCUGAAAGCAUCUAAGCACGAAACUUGCCCCGA